UAUCUGAAGUUACAUGAUAUAAUGAUACAUGAUAUGUACACACUAUGCUGUUACAGCAACAAGACACAUGUUAACUGUACAUCCUGCCAAAUCAAGCAAACACCGCUAUCUUACUGAUCUCAACUUUGAUAACAUUGUUCCACAGCCAAAUGAAUGUUAUGAUAACAAACAUGACUGAUGAAUAAUGUCACAAGAGUAAACUGGGUGUGGGAAAACAUACACACUAUUGUCUCAACUAUCAUGUUCACCAAUUGGGAAUCCACACAGACGUCCACACCUCUGCUUACGCUGACUGCUCGUCUGAAAUCCGACAUACUAUACAGUCUGACCGGGACCAGGAGUUUCCCCAACCACUGCUUGUGUGUGUGUGUGUGUGUGUGUGUGUGUGUGUGUGUGUGUGUGUGUGUGUGUGUGUGUGUGUGUGUGUGUGUGUGUGUGUGUGUGUGUGUGUGUGUGUGUGUGUGCGUGUGCGUGCGUGGACGUGUUUAACUAUUCUUGACCUUCCGAAUACUGCCCCCUAGCCCUAAGAAGUUUUAAACACCACAUACUGUAACACCUACUUACUGUAGGCUAUAUCAUAGAAACCAAAAGCUAUUUCCAUGUGAAAAUGUUCUGGUAUUUGCUCAAUUGGCUUUGUUGGUACACCCACAUUAUGCUCAAAUAGUUCAGUCAACACACUCUGUGUUGUGACUUCUGUAUACCCUCUAUGUUGUGACUGCUGUAUAUCCUCUGUGUUGACUGCUGUAUAUCCUCUGUGUUGACUGCUGUAUACCCUCUGUGUUGUGACUGCUGUAUACCCUCUGUGUUGUGACUGCUGUAUACUCUCUGUGUUGUGACUGCUGUAUACCCUCUGUGUUGUGACUGCUGUAUACCCUCUGUGUUGUGACUGCUGUAUACCCUCUGUGUUGUGACUGCUGUAUAUCCUCUGUGUUGACUGCUGUAUACCCUCUGUGUUGUGACUGCUGUAUACCCUCCAUGUUGUGACUGCUGUAUACCCUCUGUGUUGUGACUGCUGUAUACCCUCUGUGUUGUGACUGCUGUAUACCCUCUGUGUUGUGACUGCUGUAUACCCUCUGUGUUGUGACUGCUGUAUACCCUCUGUGUUGUGACUGCUGUAUACCCUCUGUGUUGUGACUGCUGUAUACCCUCUGUGUUAACUGCUGUAUACCCUCUGUGUUGUGAAUGCUGUAUACCCUCUGUGUUAACUGCUGUAUACCCUCUGUGUUGUGAAUGCUGUAUACCCUCUGUGUUAACUGCUGUAUACCCUCUGUGUUGUGACUGCUGUAGACCCUCUGUGUUGUGACUGCUGUAGACCCUCUGUGUUGUGACUGCUGUAUACCCUCUGUGUUAACUGCUGUAUACCCUCUGUGUUGUGAAUGCUGUAUACCCUCUGUGUUAACUGCUGUAUACCCUCUGUGUUGUGAAUGCUGUAUACCCUCUGUGUUAACUGCUGUAUACCCUCUGUGUUGUGACUGCUGUAUACCCUCUGUGUUGUGACUGCUGUAUACCCUCUGUGUUGUGACUGCUGUAGACCCUUUGUGUUGUGACUGAAACCAUAUACAGUUGAAGUCAGAAGUUUACAUACACCUUAGGUUGGAGUCAUUAAAACUCGUUUUUCAACCACUCCACAAAUGUCUUGUUAACAAACUAUAGUUUUGGCAAGUCGGUUAGGACAUCUUGAAGCAACAUCUCAGUCAGGAAGUUAAAGCUUGGUCGCAAAUGGGUCUUCCAAAUGGACAAUGACCCCAAGCAUACUUCCAAAGUUGUGGCAAAAUGGCUUAAGGACAACAAAGUCAAGGUAUUGGAGUCGCCAUCACAAAGCCCUGACCUCAAUCCCAUAGAAAAUUUGUGGGCAGAACUGAAAAAGCAUGUGCGAGCAAGGAGGCCUACAAACCUGACUCAGUUACACGAGCUCUGUCAGGAGGAAUGGGCCAAAAUUCACCCAACUUAUUGUGGGAAGCUUGUAGAAGGCUACCCUAAACGUUUGACCCAAGUUAAACAAUUUAAAGGCAAUGCUACCAAAUACUAAUUGAGUGUAUGUAAACUUCUGACCCACUGGGAAUGUGAUGAAAGAAUUAAAAGCUGAAAUAAAUCAUUCUCUCUGCUAUUAUUCUGACAUUUCACAUUGUUAAAAUCAAGUGGUGAUCCUAACUGACCUAAGACAUUUUUACUAGGAUUAAAUGUCAGGAAUUGUUACAAACUAAAUGUAUUUGGCUAAGGUGUAUGUAAACGUCCGACUUCAACUGUAAGUUAAACCUUCUUAUCUCUACAUUGAUUCUCUGAUUCUCUGGGUGGGACACGCCGUGGGGAGAUGCCCCUCCUUUUCUUCUCAUCGUCACUGCAGUGUGACUUCCUUUUAUGCAUAUGUGAAUCUCUGAGGGAGGUGGAGGAGAGCCCCCUCCUUACCUCGAUGAUACACCCAGGAAACAAUGCCCCCUGCCAGGGCCCCAUCCUGCCAGGGCCCCAUCCUGCCAGGGACCCAUCCUGCCAGGGCCCAUUCCUGCCAGGGCCCCAUCCCACCAGGGCAACAUCCUGCCAGGGUCCCAUCCUGCCAGGGCCCCAUCCUGCCAGGGACCCAUCCUGCCAGGGCCCCAUCCCGCCAGGGCCCCAUGCCCCCUGCCAAGGCCCCUUGCUUGAAGGGGGAUGGGUGUGUCAGGCAGGUGUCACUGAAUGCACGAUGGAUAGGCUUCUUUCCUGCUGGGACAGGUCGAUUUUAUUAUUUGUAAAUAUUUAGUAAAUGCUUUAGUGCGUUAGUCUGCCGGCAUUGUGACAGGGACAUUUUUUUUUAAAGGUAAGGUCAUGACAGAUACUCCAACCUAUAAUAUCACUCAUACUGUCAUGGCCAUGGUUUUAUCCAUAUAGACCUAUUCUAGAUGACUAGACUACACUUAGUCAGUAACAGAUGUAAUAAUCUAACAAAUUAUUAACCUCCUGCUACGUAAAUUCCAAUAUUUCACCACAUUUAUGACUACCAUUGUUUAAGCUCUUACGGUCAUAGUCGUAGGAUUUGUCUUUACAACACAAACAGAUCUGGGACAAGGUCUGAGUUUGUCCCAAUGAGAUUGGGUACCUGGCAUGUCACAUGGCUGUGUCUGCUUUGCCAAGACUGUAGAACAAUACGGGGCUUUGUUCCUGUGGUGAGUGUCACCACCUCCCAGGAAGUAGCCAACCUGGUGCUUCUAGCCUGGUCUCAGAUCUGUUUGUGCUGUCUUGUCCAGCUCCUAUACAACGACCACAGGAGUUGACAAAACAGCACAAACAGAUCGGGGAGCAGGCUAUUGUAAAUGUUCUAUGGUCACAAGACGCAGGCCUCCUAAUUGUCCCUAGAAUUUCUAAGCAAACAGCUGAAGGCAGGGCUUUCUCCUAUAGAGCUCCAUUUUUAUGGAAUGGUCUGCCUAUCCAUGUGAGAGACGCAAACUCGGUCUCAACCUUUAAGUCUUUACUGAAGACUCAUCUCUUCAGUAGGUCCUAUGAUUGAGUGUAGUCUGGCCCAGGAGUGUGAAGGUGAACGGAAAGGCUCUGGAGCAACGAACCGCCCUUGCUGUCUCUGACUGGCCGGUUCCCCUCUCUCCACUGGGAUUCUCUGCCUCUAACCCUAUUACAGGGGCUGAGUCACUGGCUUACAGGUGUUCUUCCAUGCCGUCCCUAGGAGGGGUGCGUCACUUGAGUGGGUUGAGUCACUGACGUGGUCUUCCUGUCUGGGUUGGCGACCCCCCCUUGGGUUGUGCCGUGGCGGAGAUCUUUGUGGGCUAUACUCGGCCUUGUCUCAGGAUGGUAAGUUGGUGGUUGAAGAUAUCCCUCUAGUGGUGUGGGGGCUGUGCUUUGGCAAAGUGGGUGGGGUUAUAUCCUGCCUGUUUGGCCCUGUCCGGGGGUAUCAUCGGAUGGGGUCACAGUGUCUCCUGACCGCUCCUGUCUCAGCCUCCAGUAUUUAUGCUGCAGUAGUUUAUGUGUCGGGGGGCUAGGGUCAGUCUGUUAUAUCUGGAGUAUUUCUCCUGUCUUAUCUGGUGUCCUGUGUGAAUUUAAGUAUGCUCUCUCUCUUUCUCUCUCUCGGAGGACCUGAGCCCUAGGACCAUGCCCCAGGACUACCUGGCAUGAUGACUCCUUGCUGUCCCCAGUCCACCUGGCCAUGCUGCUGCUCCAGUUUCAACUGUUCUGCCUGCGGCUAUGGAACCCUGACCUGUUCACCGGACGUGCUACCUGUCCCAGACCUGCUGUUUUCAACUCUCUAGAGACAGCUCUUAUUUGACCAUGCUGGUCAUUUAUGAACAUUUGAACAUCUUGGCCAUGUUCUGUUAUAAUCUCUACCCGGUACAGCCAGAAGAGGACUGGCCACCCCUCAUAGCCUGGUUCCUCUCUAGGUUUCUUCCUGGGUUUUGGCCUUUCUAGGGAGUUUUUCCUAGCCACCGUGCUUCUACACCUGCAUUACUUGCUGUUUGGGGUUUUAGGCUGGGUUUCUGUACAGCACUUAUAUCAGCUGAUGUAAGAAGGGCUAUAUAAAUGCAUUUGAUUUGAUUUGAUUAGAAAAGAGAGGGACUGAGUUCAUUCACAACACACUGUAGAAAGGAGAGGGACUGAGUUCAUUCACAACACACUGUAGAAAGGAGAGGGACUGAGUUCAUUCAGACACUGUCUGCUAUCCGCCCGGUACAAUUUAAACCGGGAUUGAUCUAUGAAGAAUCACACUUCUCCAGCGUGCCAGUGGCCACCGAAGGUGAACAUUUGCCCACUGAAGUCGGUUACGACGCCGAACGGCAGUCAGGUCAAGAUCCUGGUGAGGACGACGAGCACGCAGAUGUGCUUGUUGACCAGUAAGGGUUAUUAAGAAGGUAGGGGCAGAUAUUGUUGAGCGGUUGUCAUACCGCUGAUAAUAAAAGUUGAUCAGGUGACCUGAAACACCUUGGAAAACCCUGGUCUAGAGGAGGAUGAUCUGGCCAAUCAGCGGUCUACUCUCAUGAAUAUUUUGAACGACUGGUAUACGCCCACAACAUUCCAACACAUAAAAUCUGCUUUUUAACAUACAAUAAAAGUUAAAUGGUAAUUAAGUAAUUAAUUAUAGGUAAUAUUUCAUAGAAAUCUGGAAACACUGGACAGUAGCUUCGGGGUGGCAGGUAGCCUAGCGGUUAGCGCGUUGGGCCAGUAACCAAAAGGUUGCAAGAUCAAAUCCCUGAGCUGACAAGGUAAAAAUCUGUUGUUCUGCCCCUGAACAAGUCAGUUAACCCACGGUUCCUAGGCUGUCAUUGUAAAUAAGAACUGGUUCUUAACAGACUUGCCUAGUUAAAUAAAGGUCAAAUAAAAAUACAUCUGAAUGGAAUGACAGCAAGAAUAAGACAACCCCUGAAGGUGACAAGUCAAACCUCAAUGAUGAGAUCAGAGGAUUUAACAAACUGAAGUCAACUGAGGACAUUCAGUUGUUUUCUUUCUCAAUUUCCACCCUUGUCUCCCACAGUCAUCUGCCCCCUUGUGGCCGGCUUGGGAACAGCUUGGAUCUUCUUGUCCCAUGAGUGACCUUUGAGCGCUGCUGGACUUCCAGCACAAGAACUUCACAUGUCCACUUGAUGAGGACUCAGUUAACUGGAGCCUUUACCCAUGAUAUAAACCACAGAGCCAGUCUAAAACCCAUGAUAUAAACCACAGAGCCAGUCUAAAACCCAUGAUGCAAUAGAGAACAAUAAAAUAAACACCUAUUAAACACAUCUCUGUCCA
RNAcentral lists this long non-coding RNA (5703 nucleotides) under Salmo salar (Atlantic salmon). Its description in RNAcentral is "lncRNA (ENSSSAG00000098192.1)". Lineage: Eukaryota; Metazoa; Chordata; Actinopteri; Salmoniformes; Salmonidae. The record is from RNAcentral.